UCUGGGAUAUGGCAUAGUACAGAGAAUGUCAUUGCUCAGA
RNAcentral lists this small RNA (40 nucleotides) under Marmota monax (woodchuck). It matches the Rfam family "MAT2A 3'UTR stem loop D". Lineage: Eukaryota; Metazoa; Chordata; Mammalia; Rodentia; Sciuridae. The record is from RNAcentral.